ACAUGGGUUUUAUUUAAAACCAUCAAGAGAUUUUUUUACAAGGUGG
Non-coding RNA from Felis catus (domestic cat), 46 nucleotides. NCBI's taxonomy places the organism in Eukaryota, Metazoa, Chordata, Mammalia, Carnivora, Felidae. The record is from Rfam.